RNAcentral lists this ribosomal RNA (428 nucleotides) under uncultured prokaryote. RNAcentral describes it as "bacterial SSU rRNA". It matches the Rfam family "Bacterial small subunit ribosomal RNA", at positions 355 to 774 of the family's 1533-position model. The record is from RNAcentral.
UGAGGAAUUUUGCGCAAUGGGAGCAAUCCUGACGCAGCAACGCCGCGUGGGUGAUGAAGGCCUUCGGGUCGUAAAGCCCUGUCAGGUGGGAAGAAUGUCCCGGGACUGAACAGGUUCCGGGAGUGACGGUACCACCAGAGGAAGCACCGGCUAACUCCGUGCCAGCAGCCGCGGUAAUACGGAGGGUGCCAGCGUUAUUCGGAAUUACUGGGCGUAAAGCGCGUGUCGGCGGUCCUGCAAGGCUGAUGUGAAAGCCCCGGGCUUAACCCGGGAAGUGCAUUGGAAGCUGUGGGACUUGAGUACUGGAGAGGAUGGGGGAAUUCCCGGUGUAGAGGUGAAAUUCGUAGAGAUCGGGAGGAAUAUCAGUGGCGAAGGCGCCCAUCUGGACGGUAACUGACGCUGAGACGCGAAAGCGUGGGGAGCAAACA